Neopelma chrysocephalum (saffron-crested tyrant-manakin) is the source of this 1126-nucleotide long non-coding RNA. RefSeq lists it as uncharacterized. The record is from RefSeq and is a predicted model, not a curated record. Lineage: Eukaryota; Metazoa; Chordata; Aves; Passeriformes; Pipridae. The transcript is spliced from 3 exons.
AACCUACUGCCUUGAACUCUCAUCAGUCCUAAUAAAAGGUGAGGGGUGAGCUUGAGGGCUAUCCUGCAAACUGGGCAAGCCGUGGUGAUGCAGAGUUCUACCAGUAGGCCACUGGGCUGGCCUGGCAAUAGUUUUUAGCAGAGUAAAAAUACCUGACUUUGACAGCCAGCAUGCUGGUUUGUGUGUGCAUAAUUUGCUGUGAUCAUGCUAUAAAUCAAGAUGAGACUGCUAAAAUUAUGUAUGACCUCAUUUGAUAGAUUAUCUAAUAAGGAAUUUGCUAAUGCAGUUUAUCACUUAAAAAGCCAUACGACUGCUAAGGAUGAGUACUUUGCUGCAGCACAUUUAAACCUAAUUGUCAGAGGAGAAAAGCAAGCGGAUUUCAGAGGUGAGUUAGAAGAGCAUCCUUAUGAGGAUGAUGUCUUCACUAAAUCAGUGGUGCAAUGCAGCAAGCAGGGUGGAAAGGAGUCUCCUCUGGAUAAAGUCCUGUGACUCAUUUAAAAAGACUGAACAUCACUUUGACGUACACAAACAGAACUAGAAAGCAGCUCAAGCCAAUGAAACAAAGCUUGUUUUGCAGGAAAACAUUAGGUAAACAUUCCUAGAAAGACAGAAGUGAAAUGCCUGGCAGGAACUACAGCAAGCAUCUGCUGCUCAGUGGUUAAAGAUUGCCCAGCAAAGCCCAGGGGACGCGAGAAGAGAGCAAGGCUGAAGCUGAGGUCAUACCUGAGGAUCAUUCUACAUUCCUCCAAAGGGUGGAAAUCCCACCCUACCACACAUUCUCCUAGAUCAUAUGGGAGAUCUUCAGCUGAGUCACUGUAGAAGAGCAAUGUAGAAAUUUCCAAAGCUGGAAGGAGCAAAGUUUUACAGACAUCCUAUUAUGUUCAACUUACAUAAUCUCAGUACUUAGCUGCUUAGAUAAUAUAGUGAUAGAGCUUUAUGGAAUUAAAAGAGAAAAAGCUUCUCACAGAUAAUAUUAUAGCAAGAAUGGAAUUAUAGUGCUCAAAAAAUCUGUAAAAUAAGUCUCAUUUUCUUUCUGGCUUUAUUGGACAUUUCCAAGAGGGACUUAAUGCAACAAAGAUGUUAUCUCAACACCUAAUGGUGAUGACAUAAUUUACACUGAUCUGUG